This 391-nucleotide ribosomal RNA is filed under the name uncultured bacterium. RNAcentral's name for it is "partial 16S ribosomal RNA". It matches the Rfam family "Bacterial small subunit ribosomal RNA", at positions 356 to 733 of the family's 1533-position model. The record is from RNAcentral.
UGGGAAUUUUGGACAAUUGGGCGAAAGCCUGAUCCAGCAAUGCCGCGUGUGUGAAGAAGGCCUUCGGGUUGUAAAGCACUUUUGUCCGGAAAGAAAUCCUUGGCUCUAAUACAGUCGGGGGAUGACGGUACCGGAAGAAUAAGCACCGGCUAACUACGUGCCAGCAGCCGCGGUAAUACGUAGGGUGCAAGCGUUAAUCGGAAUUACUGGGCGUAAAGCGUGCGCAGGCGGUUUGCUAAGACCGAUGUGAAAUCCCCGGGCUCAACCUGGGAACUGCAUUUGGGUGACUGGCAGGCUAGAGUAUGGCAGAGGGGGGUUAGAAUUCCACGUGUAGCAGUGAAAAUGCGUAGAGAUGUGGAGGAAUACCGAUGGCGAAGGCAGCCCCCCUGGG